CGUUAGACGACAGAACGAAGACACCGGCGUAACUACCGUGCCAGCAGACCGCCGGUAAUACGGACGGGUGCGAGCGUUAAUACGGAAUUACUGGGCGUAAAGCGCAUGCAGGUGGUUUGUUAAGUUCAGAUGUGAAAGACCCGGGGCGUCAACCUCGGAAUAGCAUUUGAAACUGGCAGACUAGAGUACUGUAGAGGGGGGUAGGAAGUUUCAGGUGUAGCGGUGAAAUGCGUAGAGAUCUGAAGGAAUACCGGUGGCGAAGGCGGCCCCCUCGGACAGAUACUGACACUCAGAUGCGAAAGCGUGGGGAGCAAACAGGAUUAGAUACCCUGGUAG
RNAcentral lists this ribosomal RNA (336 nucleotides) under uncultured bacterium. RNAcentral describes it as "bacterial SSU rRNA". It matches the Rfam family "Bacterial small subunit ribosomal RNA", at positions 466 to 793 of the family's 1533-position model. The record is from RNAcentral.